This 2584-nucleotide long non-coding RNA is filed under the name Homo sapiens (human). RNAcentral's name for it is "HSALNT0031782". The record is from RNAcentral. Lineage: Eukaryota; Metazoa; Chordata; Mammalia; Primates; Hominidae.
AUCCAAUAACUCAAUUCAACAUUAAUUUACAGUUCAGGAAGCUUUCAGCUGUGAAUAAUUAAUCAGGUUCUCACAUUACAUAGAUGGAAAUAUAAGAAUAACAAUUAUUGAAACUCAUUUGUUGUUUUGUAUCAAUGGGAUUAAAGUGAAACAUUCAGUUUAUAAAAAAAUCAUUUUUACAAUUAAUCAAAAAUUGCUUGAAUCACUAAGAAUUUACAUAUUAAACUUCAAAGCUAAUUUCAAAAAGAAACUGUACUCUACAGGCCCAAUUUUAAUGACAACCAAAAUAAAACUGUUCUAAAUUCUAAAUGGUCAUCCUACUUUAACACUAUAUUGUCAAACGCUUAUUAAGAUUAUUUAGUUAAUGGACUGAAGACAAUGUAAAAACAUUUUUAAACAGUAAAAAUCUUACAAGAAUACUAAGGAGCCUCUGAAUAAUCUAAAGCAGUGGUUCUCAAAGCAUGAUUCCAGGACAGCAGGAUGAGCAUCACUUAGGAACUUCUUAGAAACAAUUCUUAAUCAUGCAUGUUUUUAUGAUGGGAUUCUAUUUAUGUAGAAUUAUGUGUGCAGAAAGAUAUGCAAAAAUAAAACACUUGUUCUUGCACAACUGAAUAUUUCUGUUCAACCAGAGUCUGAUUAAGAUUCAGGUUUCAUAAUGCCUAAAUUGUGGUCUCUAAAUAUCAUUUCCCACUAAAAGGAAUAAGGGCUAAUUUCAGAGAAAUGGCUGUCUCCAGGUCUGGGACAGAAAAUGUUCAAGAUGAGCCUAGAAUAUUUUGUCAUGGCAGAAAGCAAGAAAGCUCUUAAGGAGUGCUAAGGCCAUGUCAUAAGGAUUCAGGACCAAAGCAGCUUUUAAAGAGGCUUCCACUAGCCCGAGUUGAGACAGUAAGAAAAACAAAUGCAGUGGAUUGAAACAAUACAAAUAUUUUUAAAUUCAUGGGUUCAUAAUGACACUAAAGAAACUCACUCACUAGUUCUCUCAAGAAGAUAUGAGAGAACCAAUUCAUUAUUUGGAAACUGGUAAAUGUAACUCCUCUAGCCCUGCUUAUUCUUUUUUUUUUUUUUUGAGAUUUUGAGUCUUGCUCUAUGGCCCAGACUGGAGUGCAGUGGCGUGAUCUCAGCUCACUUCAACCUCCACCUCCCGGGUUCGAGAGAGAUUCUCCUGCCUCAUCCUCCCGAGUAGCUGGGAUCACCGGCGCCCACAACCACACCCGGCUAAUUUUUGUACUUUUAGUGGAGACAGGGUUUCACCAUGUUGGCUAGGCUGGUCACAAACUCCCGACCUCAGGUUAUCCAUCUGCCUUGGCCUCCCAAAGUGCUGGGAUUACAGGCGUGAGCCCCCGCACCUGGCCAAGAUCAGCUAAUUUAUUUACACUUUUACAAGUUUUUUUAACAUUAAAAUAAACACUACAUUUUAAUUUACCUUUUUACUGAGCCUUUGAUUUUCUUUUUCCAUUUUCAGGAUUUUGGAAGCAUUGCCUUCUACAGAAUCCACAGUAGUCCGAAGCUCUUCUACGGUUUUUGUCAAACUUUGAUUUUCCAUCUCUAGCUUCAAUAAUCUACUUGAUGUCAACUCAUUCACCUCAUGGCCCAGGGAUUUCUGGGGUGCUAUAAUAUUGAAAAAUACACCAUUGUAUUUACUCUUUACUGUUUUUACUAUGUUUACUCUUUACUAUUUAAAAAGUUGAGUGUAUAUGCAUUGCAUCAUCUGAUCCUUAACUUUAUUAAAAAUUCAAUGAGGUUAUAUAAGAUAAACAAGAUAAAAGAAGUAAAUCUUUUUUUUCCUUUUCUUUUUUUCUUUUUUUUAAAGAGACGGGGUCUCUCUCUGUCACCCAGGCUGGAGUGCAGUGAUGUGCUCCUAGCUCACUGCAGCCUCAAACGCCUGGUCUGAAGGGAUCCUCCCACCUCAGUCUCCCAAGCGGCCGGGACUGCAGGUACAGCCAGCUAAUUUUUUUAUUUUUUAGUAAAGACUGGGUCUCUGUUACUUAGGCUGGUCUCGAACUCCUGAGCUCAAGCAAUCCUCCUGCCUUGGCCUCCCAAAGUGCUGGGAUUACAGGCAUGAGCCGCUGCACCCAGCUAAGAGAUACAUGUUUAACUUUUAAUGCAUCCACAGCAUUCUAGUUAAAAAAAGCAUAAAAUUUAGAUUGAAGAAAUUGGAGUUCAAGCAGACCCAUUAAAUAUUUUGCUGAUAUAAGAACAUUAGGAUUUACAAAUGAAAUAUGAGACCUACUAUUUCAAGAAAGGAAAUGAAUAAAGGUACUGGAGAGAAUUUCCGGGUCUGCUUUUGUGUAUGUUUCAAAUUCUUCUUCAUAAAAACCAAAGAAAUACACGCACAUCCAACAUAUCCCCCACCAUGCAAAAAAUCUCUUCAAAAUUAGAUAAGCAAAUAACCUCCAUAUUUAAGUAAAGAAAAUCUCAAUUUUUAUUUCCAGCUUUUCUAGUCAUCAUGUUGUUAAUCUUUUACUGAAAGCUGGUAUACCGAAUAGUUACUAACUUUUAAAAUUCCAUUAGUUGCCUAAGUCUUUUUUUUAAUUAAAAGAUUAUUUAAAUUUAACUAUAAACUUACAGGAUACAUUAUUCUAAGUAG